CUCUCUCUUUCUCUGUCCCUGAAAUAAGAACCAUAUUUCGAGGUUCAAUUCUUGCUAGAUUGUGAGAUUUCCCUUUGAUUUUUUGGUGUCAGUCUUGUUUACACCGCAAACAAGGGAGAAAAAAAUUAUCUUAUGCAAAUUAAGCGUUGAAGCUGUGGUUUUUAGGCCUUACUUAGUGAAGCCACUAAUUAGACUUGGUUACCGCCUUCUCUGCGUAAUUGUACAGACUUCACUCCUCUUACCAUCGCUUAUGCCAUGAGAGUCUUUUGCAGUCAAGCUUAAGACUUGAAGUGGCAUGUCGAAGAGGUGAUCAAUUAGAGCUACUUUUCAAAAAAAAAAAAAAAAGCGUUGAAGCUGUGGUGUUAAUUAAUUGGUUGAAGAUUGGUGUCUACAGGUGGAUAUUUUAAGCUAUGCCUGCUCUGAAUAAGGCCUUUUUAUCCUGGCAUUUAAGUUUCUGGUUGCCGGCAGCUACAGUGGCAACCCUGGUUGAAGAGACGCCAGUCAAUUUUUACAUCGGGAUUGUCUCUACCCGAUACCUGGUUUAUAUGCUUGGUCAAUGUUGAGGCGAAGCCAUCCAUAUAAACCAUUAUAAUUUUGAUCGGUUGAAAGCAGAAAUAUAACCUUUUGUGAUCAUAACUAUAUGUUCUUCACUAGUACAAAAUUUUCCGACCAAACCCUUCCCAUCCUUACCCUCAUGUUAUGAUCUUUUUCCAUUUUGAAGCUUAGAUAAAAAGUUUAAAAUGUUUCCUUUCAAAUGAAUUAAAAAAUAAUGAAAAAGAUGAAUCCUUGGAAAUCGAUAUCAAGGAAGGAAAAAUUAACGUGCCUCGGUGUAUGGGAUUAGUUUAACGUGCUCCUGGGCUACAAUCUUUCAACUACUUAUAAUUGUUUUGUAUGAGGCGUGUUUAUAUUCUUCUGGUUGACCUCAAUUUUGCAGGGAUGGUAAAUAGCAGGAUAAUUCAUUAUGUUCUUCUGCAGAGAAACAAUGAUAUUCUGGUAGUGAAUGAUGUUACAUGCGGACGGUGUUCUACUGCAACAAAUCUUCUGCCAUUGUUGGAGGUUAAAGACUUCAUCAGCAUUUUGUAUCUCUGCUGGAAUUAAUACAAAACAUAUUGGAGGUUAAAGACCUCUUGUACGAUGGUCUUUAAUUGCCGGAAGAUUACCAAGUAAACUUCUUUCUUCAUCUACUUCUUGUUGCAGUCUUCCCCAUAUGUUGUUGUUCCAGCAGGGAAAGCAGAUGAAUCACGGCUUGCAAGUCUGGUGGGGAAGAAGUGAACUGAUAAGGUGGACGCAAACAUCUCCCAGGCUGACAUGCGACACGGUGCAUAUUCAACACCCACAAUGUGCGAAACUGACAUGCUAAAGAAAGCAAAUAGGUCACUCUCCAAUCUCCAUCAACAUUAUACAUGAUUAUCUCGGUGUCCUAUGUUUUGAAGAUAUGGUUAUCUCGAUGCCAAUAUCGUGCGGAAUACUCAAGAGUUCUGUGGACUUAUGCAGGUAUUUCCCUUAUAGUAUAAAAUUACUAAUGCAUGUUACUUAAAAUUUGGUUUAGUUUAAUGCAUUACCCUGCAGCACAAGAAAGAAAAAAAUAAUAACAAUGAUAGGGAAAGCAUAGUUUCUGGUAAGGAAUCACUUUCAUAUGAUGCUUUAUUACGAUCUAAAUGUUUUAAAAUUGUAAUGAAAAAAAUGUGUAAAGAUUAGAAACCCUGUAUCUUCCAAUUUGCGAAUAUUUUUUAUGAUUUGUCAAUCGUCGCGAGCAGUGGAACGAUCCCUCGGCAGACUCGUUAAACUGUCGCACGAUGCAUCACUAGAGGCAGCGGUCUCGUUGAUCAUGCCAAUGUCAAUGGACAGGUCAUAUCCAUCUGGAUUUUGAUGUGACUGCCUCAAAAGAUAAGAUGCAAAAAUUUGUUGGGGGAGAAAUAGAAUUGAAGGGUAAUUGGAAGGGAAAAAUAUUGGGUUUGUGUGCGUCACGGAUUGCAUCAGAUAAGAUAAGGCUAAAUCCGUGCAUGACUAAUUGAAUCUAGCCAAUCAGGUCAUUUGCUUACCUUAACAGGCUGGAUAUGUGUUUUUCGGCUCUAAAUUGUAAAC
This is a long non-coding RNA of Theobroma umbraticum, 2085 nucleotides long. RefSeq lists it as uncharacterized. The record is from RefSeq and is a predicted model, not a curated record. Lineage: Eukaryota; Viridiplantae; Streptophyta; Magnoliopsida; Malvales; Malvaceae.